Molecule: RNA transcript, 2777 nt
Organism: Musa acuminata AAA Group (dessert banana)
Lineage: Eukaryota; Viridiplantae; Streptophyta; Magnoliopsida; Zingiberales; Musaceae
Gene name: isocitrate dehydrogenase [NAD] catalytic subunit 5, mitochondrial
Exons: 10
Source: RefSeq, a predicted model, not a curated record
CAUUUUUUUACCGGCCUUUUAGCUUUCCUCUCCUCCUCCCCGCAGGUGGCUGCGGCGCAGAAUACUCUUGGAGCACAAAGAACCUUUCCCACUUUUCAUCUCUCGUCCCAUCUUCUGGCAUCGAAAUUCCUUCUUUGGGCGCAAAGCUGCUGCGGAUCGAUUGAGCUGCUGAGCCGUCUUCGUCAAUGGCGCUUGGACGCCUCCUUCAAAGGGCUUCGAUCAACCAGAUUUCCAGCAGGAUUUUUCCUGCUUUUGAAAGAUCUUUCUCCGCUGCUGCUUCCCCCAGCGAACCCAUCCGUGCCACUCUCUUCCCCGGUGAUGGAAUUGGGCCUGAGAUCGCAGACUCUGUUAAGCAUGUGUUCAAUGCAGCACAAGUUCCAAUAGAAUGGGAGGAACAUUUUGUGGGUGACAAGGUCGAUCCUAGAACAGAGAGCUUUUUAACAUGGGAAAGUCUGGAAUCAGUGCGAAGAAACGGCGUUGGCUUGAAAGGCCCUAUGGCUACUCCCAUUGGAAAGGGUCACCGGUCACUGAACCUUACCUUGAGGAAAGAACUUGGUCUCUAUGCCAAUGUUAGACCUUGCUACAGCCUUCCUGGCUAUAAAACUCGAUAUGAUGAUGUAAAUCUUGUGACAAUUCGUGAAAAUACAGAAGGAGAGUAUAGUGGCCUUGAACACCAGGUGGUGAGAGGUGUUGUAGAAAGUCUGAAGAUCAUUACUCGUCAAGCAAGUUUAAGGGUCGCAGAAUAUGCUUUCCAUUAUGCCAAAGCAAAUGGCCGCCAGCGAGUGUCUGCCAUACACAAGGCCAACAUCAUGAGGAAGACUGAUGGUCUUUUUCUGAAGUGUUGCCGUGAGGUUGCAGAGAAGUACCCUGAGAUAACUUACGAGGAAGUCAUCAUUGACAACUGUUGUAUGAUGCUUGUGAAAAAUCCUACUCUCUUCGAUGUACUGGUGAUGCCCAAUCUCUAUGGAGAUAUAAUCAGUGACCUUUGUGCAGGACUGAUUGGAGGGCUGGGCUUAACUCCUAGUUGCAACAUUGGUGAAGGUGGCAUCGCUCUAGCAGAAGCUGUACAUGGGUCAGCCCCUGAUAUAGCUGGAAAGAAUCUUGCAAACCCAACUGCUCUCCUGCUGAGUUCCGUUAUGAUGUUGCGCCACUUGAGGCUUACCGACAAAGCUGACCAAAUCCACAAUGCUAUACUUAAUACCAUUUCAGAAGGAAAGUAUCGAACGGUUGAUCUUGGUGGGAAUUCGUCAACUACAGAUUUUACAAAGGCAGUAUGCGAUCAUCUUUAGAAAGUUUGUGGCAGCACACCCGGAUAACUGGAUGGUACCGAUCAAAAUAGCGUUUGUUGAAGCGUGGAAAAGCCAAACUACCGCGUAGCUGAGCUGAAGGGUUGAAAGAAAGCAAUAGAGGGGCUUCUCGCGACGACUCCCUCCAUGCCAUGGUUCGAUUUCUGUCCCGACGACCAAUGGUGAAUCACAGGAGCAUAUGGGUCGAUUUCUGUCCCGGGAGUUUGUCAAGCUAAUAAUAAACAACGACAGUCAUUUUGGUUUAGAAUGAUUGACAUUACAGGUGAACUCGACUUCUUCUUCGUGUGCUUCCAUUAUUAUUGGAGGCAAGAUGGAGCCCAACACUCGAAGCAAAAAAGCACAUCCAUUACGAUCGGAACAAAAGUAUUACCAAAUUGUACCAGAGAAAACAUCGUAAUAUAGCUAGAAACACUAAAACAGAGUGGUGACCUAUGGAAGUUGUGUUGCGGCCAGAGCAAACAGAGCUAGAGAGCGGAGCUCACGGAAGCCUCUCCAUGGCAGAAGGCAUAGAGGACCGUACGUUUAGCGAUGCAGAUGAUGCUAUGAAGGAGCCAAGCAAUAAUCCGACGCUUUAUUUGCCCUCUUCGAGGCGGUAAUCUCUGCCUUUCCUUCGUCUCGGAUGAAGAAGAGCUUCUCUCUGCGGCCAUCUCUGUUUUAGCAGAGGAGACGAGAGUGAAGAAGAGUCAUGAUAUGAUAACAUACAUACAUAAUGUAUAUAUAUAUAUAUAUAUAUAUAUAUAGGGAGAGAGAGAGAUAGAGAGAUAGGGUCCCUCCACGAUAUACAAAUCUAGUGAGCUGACCCACACCAGUACUGGAAACGAGAGAAGCAAAGCAACCGAGGGCCCACACGCUUGAUCUCAGUAGAUUCAACGAGCAGGUGGUUGACUUUUAAGUGGAUUUGACGAACACCAAUGUCAUCGAAACAUAUAGGAAAUUGAUCGAAGCUAGUAACCUUAGCGCUUGAGAGUUCUAAGCGCAGAGAAAGAUGAGUGGAGCGAGACGCACGUUACCUGUCAAUAGGAAUAAGGUGGAGAUUUAAGUUGGUAUCUGACUUUGACACCUUUUUUAAUUAGUCAUGUCAACCAGCUCAAAUGUCUCAUGUUGACUUGCAACAUUUUCCUUUGGAUCAGCUGAUCGAAGUCAAAACAUAUACUUGUUGCGAACGCGUUGAAGAAUUGUUCCAAGUCAUCCAGAAGGUAUGCAUAUGGACAUCUCCAUGCUUCGACGAUGAUGAGGCCGUCAAAGAGUAGGAGCUCUCUAGAAUUAAUUCUUGCUCUCCCAAAGCUUACACGUAAUUGGCAUUGUAGACGACACGUACUUUGAGACCCAGGAAUGGUUAUUGGGCCGGGCAGAGCUAAGCGAGGCUUUGAGAUCAUUUCGAUAACGCAGCAAGGCCCAUAGCCAUCCUUUUGUGCCCCGUAAUUGUCAUUCUGUCUCUUUCCCUUUCAAUCCAUUUCUUACUUCUCUCCA